RNAcentral lists this ribosomal RNA (584 nucleotides) under uncultured bacterium. RNAcentral describes it as "bacterial SSU rRNA". It matches the Rfam family "Bacterial small subunit ribosomal RNA", at positions 874 to 1457 of the family's 1533-position model. The record is from RNAcentral.
UGGGGAGUACGNCCGCAAGGUUGAAACUCAAAGGAAUUGACGGGGGCCCGCACAAGCGGUGGAGCAUGUGGUUUAAUUNGAAGCAACGCGAAGAACCUUACCAGGUCUUGACAUCCCGAUGCCCGCUCUAGAGAUAGAGUUUUUCUUCGGAACAUCGGAGACAGGUGGUGCAUGGUUGUCGUCAGCUCGUGUCGUGAGAUGUUGGGUUAAGUCCCGCAACGAGCGCAACCCUUAUUGUUAGUUGCCAUCAUUAAGUUGGGCACUCUAGCGAGACUGCCGGUAAUAAACCGGAGGAAGGUGGGGAUGACGUCAAAUCAUCAUGCCCCUUAUGACCUGGGCUACACACGUGCUACAAUGGUUGGUACAACGAGUCGCAAGCCGGUGACGGCAAGCUAAUCUCUGAAAGCCAAUCUCAGUUCGGAUUGUAGGCUGCAACUCGCCUACAUGAAGUCGGAAUCGCUAGUAAUCGCGGAUCAGCACGCCGCGGUGAAUACGUUCCCGGGCCUUGUACACACCGCCCGUCACACCACGAGAGUUUGUAACACCCAAAGUCGGUGAGGUAACCAUUUAUGGGGCCAGCCGCC